RNAcentral lists this ribosomal RNA (603 nucleotides) under uncultured fungus. Its description in RNAcentral is "eukaryotic LSU rRNA". It matches the Rfam family "Eukaryotic large subunit ribosomal RNA", at positions 23 to 641 of the family's 3401-position model. The record is from RNAcentral. Lineage: Eukaryota; Fungi.
ACCCGCUGAACUUAAGCAUAUCAAUAAGCGGAGGAAAAGAAACCAACAGGGAUUGCCCUAGUAACGGCGAGUGAAGCGGCAACAGCUCAAAUUUGAAAUCUGGCCCUUUCAGGGUCCGAGUUGUAAUUUGCAGAGGGUGCUUUGGCGUCGGUUGUGGUCUAAGUUCCUUGGAACAGGACGUCACAGAGGGUGAGAAUCCCGUACGUGGCCGCCAACCUUCACCGUGUAAAGCCCCUUCGACGAGUCGAGUUGUUUGGGAAUGCAGCUCUAAAUGGGAGGUAAAUUUCUUCUAAAGCUAAAUACUGGCCAGAGACCGAUAGCGCACAAGUAGAGUGAUCGAAAGAUGAAAAGCACUUUGGAAAGAGAGUUAAAAAGCACGUGAAAUUGUUGAAAGGGAAGCGCUUGCAGCCAGACUUGCCUGUAGUUGCUCAUCCGGGUUUUUACCCGGUGCACUCUUCUAUAGGCAGGCCAGCAUCAGUUUGGGCGGUUGGAUAAAGGUCUCUGUCAUGUACCUCUCUUCGGGGAGAACUUAUAGGGGAGACGACAUGCAACCAGCCCGGACUGAGGUCCGCGCAUCUGCUAGGAUGCUGGCGUAAUGGCUGU